ACAAUUGCGACCGAAUCGGUCACAAAUUUGAAAUUUGAAGUUUCAAAUUUCAACGGCAGUUGCGACCGAUUUGGUCACUAAUUAUUAUUUUUAAUACACCCUUACUCGUUUUUCUUCAUUCUUCUUUAUUCUCCAACUUUUCCCCUCUUCUUCCCUCUCCUCUUAUGACCCCAAUCUGUUCUAUUUUUUAAUUUUAUCCUCUAAUCUAACCAUAUUAGAUAUGAUUUCCCUCUAUCUCACUCAUCCUCUCCCUCACCCUCUUCAUCUCCCCCAUUCAGCCACCCCCUGUCCACUCUUCCCCAAUUACUUUAUUCUUAAGUUGUUUAACUCCAUUUUGGUGCAGGAAUUCGGCGUCUCAUCUCCCCUCUGGUGAUAGUUCGGCAGCAAAUUGGUUUAUUUUUCAGAUUUUUUUUGCAAUAUAAUAUGUAUAUAGUAAUAUUAGAAAUGUACUUGUUUAGAUUAAUUAGCUGUUAUAUAAAUUCUAGUUUAAAAUUUUUGUAUAAUAAAUUUGUUUUUUAUGUUUAUAUUGUCAUAUUUAUUAUGUAUACUUUAUGUUUUCCAAAGAUGUUUAUAUCUAUUUGUAGUAGAUAUUGAAUUUUGGAUUGCUAUAUUAGGUUUUUGGUUAAUGGUUAGGUGCUUAUUUGACUAUUUUAUUUGACAAGUGGUGUAAUUAAAAAUACAGCAAGUUCCUGCUUAAAAGUGCCAAGAUUUAUGACUGAAUUUGACACAUA
Molecule: long non-coding RNA, 731 nt
Filed under: Nicotiana benthamiana
Lineage: Eukaryota; Viridiplantae; Streptophyta; Magnoliopsida; Solanales; Solanaceae
Description: long non-coding RNA (NBEN_LNC038093)
Source: RNAcentral